Molecule: long non-coding RNA, 4421 nt
Organism: Passer domesticus (house sparrow)
Lineage: Eukaryota; Metazoa; Chordata; Aves; Passeriformes; Passeridae
Exons: 5
Source: RefSeq, a predicted model, not a curated record
CGGGAGGAGGGGCGCGGGCCGAGACGCAGAAAUACAAAAAUAUAUAUUUUUAUAUAUCUGUACAGAGAGAGAAGGAAGGGCGCGAAUGUGGGGGAGAACGUCUGCGAGUCCGGCCUGUGAGCGGACAGCACGGUGUCAGCACGCCGUGGCACUGAGUGACGCGUCCAGUCGUGGCUGGAGCGCCUCCGGGGCAGUGACUCUGCAGUCUGCCCAGUCACGCUUUCUUUGGAGAAAUUUUUUCCUAAUAUCCGGCUAAACCUCCCCUGGCCCAGCCUGAGGCCGUUCCCUCUGCUCCUGUCCCUGUUCCUGGGAGCACAGCCUGACGCCCCCGCUGUCCCCUCCUGGCAGGAGCUGUGCAGAGCCACAAGGGCCCCCCUGAGCCUCCUUUGCUCCAGGCUCAGCCCCUUCCCAGCUCCCUCAGCCUCUCCCGGGGCUCCAUUCCCUUCCCAGCUCCCUCAGCCUCUCCUGGGGCUCCAUUCCCUUCCCAGCUCCCUCAGCCUCUCCUGGGGCUCCAGCCCCUUCCCAGCUCCCUCAGCCUCUCCCGGGGCUCCAUUCCCUUCCCAGCUCCCUCAGCCUCUCCUGGGGCUCCAGCCCCUUCCCAGCUCCCUCAGCCUCUCCUGGGGCUUCAUUCCCUUCCCAGCUCCCUCAGCCUCUCCUGGGGCUCCAGCCCCUUCCCAGCUCCCUCAGCCUCUCCUGGGGCUCCAUUCCCUUCCCAGCUCCCUCAGCCUCUCCUGGGGCUCCGUUCCCUUCCCAGCUCCCUCAGCCUCUCCUGGGGCUCCAUUCCCUUCCCAGCUCCCUCAGCCUCUCCUGGGAGCUGCAGCCCCUUCCCAGCUCCGUUCCCUUCCCUGGCCACGCUCCAGCCCCUCAAUGUCCUCCUUGGAAUGAGUGGCGCAGGAUACAACACUUGCUCCUUCAGAUGCUGGAAUCUUCUCCAGGGGUUGAACAGCCCCAACUUUCUCCACCUGACUUCGCAGGGAAGGUGCUCCUGAUGAACUUGGCCUCAUCUGGACUUGCUCCAGCAGUUCCAUGUCCUGCUGGCAUUGAGGACCCCAGAGCUGGGUGCAGCACUGCAGGAUGGCAAAAGACAGCUGACUAUCUGUGUCUGAUCCCACACUAGUCUUCAUGGAAAGUGCCUUGUGCCAGUUUCUUUCUGAGGAAACACUUUUUUUAGGUGCAAACAGAACAAGAAAAAAUAUUCAAUUUUUUUAACCACGGAUUGUUCAAGAUGUAUGGAGACAUUGGACAAGUAAUUUUUGCCUGUUCCCAGUUUAUCCAUUGUAAAUUCAGUUACUGGUGUUGGGAAAACAGCAACAUCUGGAUCAACAACUUUUUAUGUCCCUCAGUGGUAUGGAUUUUGUGAUGAAGAGUGGAAGCACGACGAAGCUGCAGGUGUGCUGCUGAAUGGGGAUGGAAAGUUAAUUAAAAAUGCCCACAGAAAGGAUAGAAGUACUCAGUGCCUUCUUCACUUCCGUCAUCAUGGGUGAGAUCAGCCCCCAGGUCUCCAUGCUAGAAGCAAUGACAAAAAUUGUAUCAGAGAGUUCAUUUAAGGACCAUCUCCACAAACUGGACAUCUACAGAUACCUUCCCCAGUUUCGGGGGGAAAAAAAUCACCAUGAGAGUAAUUAGCCAUGGGAGCCAGGAAAGUGGUGGACUUUUCUUGAUGAAAGUAUUCAAGAAACAGCUUGACAGAGAAUGGAGAACGUCAUCUGAGGCAUUUCUUUCCAUGUAAAUUUGAAGUCCUGUUGAAAUCUGGACCUUUAUGUUGUUUUUAUGAUCACCUCUGGUUUCUGCAGAAGAAUUACAAUGAAUGAAAGAAAUAAGUUGUCUGAUUACAAACCCCUUGUACAUUUCUAGUGGUGACUUUAACAAACAUUUGUACACAGCUCAUCCCUUAAACUUUAUUUCUCUUUUUCUUGCAUGUCUGACAGUCCUGUCCCCCUGCACUAAAGAUCACAGAAGCAGCUGCAGAGAGAGAGGUUUCAUUCCCCAAAACACUGAAUUUUUUAUUCUGAAUUAUUUGCUCAUAAUGUUUGAGCUUUGGCUUCUGUCAUUAGCUCUUAACUUCUGUUUAAGGGUCAGUGGAAAAGCACUUUUCCUUAAUUACAAAAUUUUGUUGUAAUUUCUGGUAUUUGCGGCUACUCACCAGGUUAUGCCUUACAGAGCAAGAUGUGAUAACUUUUCACAGCUCCCACUAGAAUAAUUUCCACUUUGUUGCUCUGUUGCUUUGGUGCACCCUGCUCUGCUUUUUGGAAAGCUUUUGUGCUACCACACAGAAAGAAGGAGGCACAAUUUUGUGCCUCCAUUCCAGGAAAAUUCUGUUCUCAAAACUAUCCCUGAAAGAUUUUGGCAGAUCUGAUUUGUGAGGUCUUAGUGAGGAACAUCUGAAUUUCCACCCUGCACCAGAACAAUAUCCAGCUGACUACUAUGUUUUUCCAGGAGUGAAUAAUGUGUACUCCCCUAAGGUGUCCUGGAGCCUUUUAGGGCCUCACCAGUCAGCAGUGGUGUGAUUACCUCCCGAAGAGGAAGAGGCUGUGCUGUCACAAACCUGCAAAUACUCACCAAAUAUUGCCUUUUGAGUUCCAACGGAGUGAGUCAACAUUGCUGCGACUUCAGGCUCUGUCUCUUGGACACUCCACAGCCUUGGUAUUUGGGAUUUCACAGGCCAGCCUCCCAGCCCUGCUGCUGGCAUCCAGAGUGCUCUGGCUAAUUCCUUCCCCAAGCUGCAAGUCCAAGAGCUCUCUGAGCUUGCCACAUGGUUUUCCCAGGACACGUAUGAUUGCCAGCAAGCCUAAUUACUUUUUGGCUGAUGCAAGACAUUCAGAGGGGAGAAAAAUAUCAUCAAAAACCAAAAAAGAAAGGGCACACUGUAGUCAUUAGCCUGCCUCUGUGCCCCUGCAGCCAUGCAACCUUAAGGUUUGGAUUAGAUGCUUUUAAAGAGCCCACUCUUCUUUGUCUCCCUUUUUCCUCCUGAAAGUGGUCUUUUCCUCUCCUUCCAGCAGAUGUUUUUCUGCUCUCAGUCUUUCCUCAUUUUUUGGCAUGACUGAAGAGAGAACACUUCCUGGGUUGUCAUUAGUCUCCUUGUCAAGAGCCUCACAGAUCAGGCCUGUCAGAUGUGCAAAAUCUAUCACCACCUCAUCCACAGUUUACUUGUUACCCUGCCGAGUUUCAGAUUGGAAUAAUUAGUUUGCCUUGAGCCAUUGCCAAUUAUUUUGCUGCCGUAUGAUUAAAUGGACUGUAACUGAAUAGCUGGUGACCAAGAUUUAAUGACUCUCCACUGUUAUAUCUAGCCAAGUUAAAGGUUUUGUUUUUUUUUUCCUUUCUGUCACCUCCCAGAGGACUUCAGCUGAAUCUGAAGGCAAAAGGUCACAGGCAUGCACAACAAUGAGAACAGAAUUUGCAAUGUAGAAUAGAAUAACAUAGAGGGUCCCUAGUAUCAGAGUUUAUAAGCAGGGUGGUUAACAGGUUGUUUUGCAUACACACAGAGACAGACACAAAUAAGAAAAGUGCAAAAUGGACUUAAUUAUAAGAGCUAUAUAUUUUUCCUGAUUAAGAAAACUCUAUUCUUUAGUAUGCAACCCAGCUGGAUCAAAGCAUACUUUUAAAUAGAAAGUUAUAUGCUCAAGAAAAUGGAUUCUUCAUCUAUGACUAAGAUUCUUGCAAUAAAUUAGUGUUUGUUUCCUCAAAUUGAUUUCCUGGAACUUAGACAUUUGUUCUCUAGUUGUAAAUUGCCACCUCACUAGAAAAAAAAAAGCAUGGUCUGUUUUUAAUGUGUCUAUGCCAAGUUUUGAUUACUAUUAUGUAACUCAGCUGUUGAAACUGUACAUGUAUUAAAAUGAAAGAAUUUUGUUUGAGUCUUGGACUGAAACAUUGUGGGCAAUUAAUCUACAGUCUGGACCAGCACAUUUGAGCACAUCAGCAAAAAGAUGUUGAUAGUUCUGUGUCUUGCUCAGAAAAGAAAUCACAAUGUCCCUGUAGUACAAUCUGUUAAGCAAAGCUUUCAGCAAAUGUGGGUUUGUGGGUGAUCAGCAAAAGCACUGAUGUGAUUUUUGUAGUUGGAUAUAGAUGUGUAGAUCUGAUCUAUUAAUUCGAUCACGUACAUGCAAAGCAGUGCCUCCUACAUCCCUUGGUAUUGCAAACAGCCAAGCAAUGAUUCAUCAGACCAAGGUCCUCUUGAUGAGAAAACUGAGUCAUUGAAACCCUUCUGUGUUCAGAUCAAUGAAGAAAAAGAUACUGCCAUUCAUACACAUUCUUCUGCAACUGCAAUAUGCAGGUAGUGCCCCAAACACAACAGGCUUUUCCUUGUCCUGGAAUGUUCCUGCUGCUCAGCACCACCACCACAGACAGGGAGCUGGCAGCUGUGCAUCCACAGGAGACCUUUGGCUGCCUUUCACCCUGAACCCCUCUUCUUCAGCUCCUCUUUC